Long non-coding RNA from Dermacentor silvarum, 419 nucleotides. RefSeq lists it as uncharacterized. NCBI's taxonomy places the organism in Eukaryota, Metazoa, Arthropoda, Arachnida, Ixodida, Ixodidae. The transcript has 3 exons. The record is from RefSeq and is a predicted model, not a curated record.
AGGCGAGCCAAGUGCAUCUUUGAGCAUAUUUCUUUGUUUUCGUUUAAAACCUGAUGUCGCGGCAUUCAAUUACAGGCUAGCGUUUAUGACACACAAAGAGUCUCAAUGCGUAUAUCGCCAAACGCACGCGUGUCGUUGCGUCAGCUGAAAUAAGUGUACGCAGCGUGGUCCACGACGACGGCAAGAUGCUUCUUACUUUCACCUUUGUAGUUUUAUUUGCCUCGCUAGUGCAGGUGCAACAAGUUAUCAGCGCUGACAUAAGUCAAAGAUCAGGGAGAGCUGAAAUCGUAAAGGUCCUUUGCACGGCAGCCAUGAAGAAAAGGUGUAUGGAGAUGCGCCAGCGUUGCGACAUCUCACAGGGUGUCGCACAAUGCGUGAAACCUUACCCUACAGAAUAAAAACGCUUUUUGUUUCCGCAA